Molecule: ribosomal RNA, 450 nt
Filed under: uncultured bacterium
Lineage: Bacteria
Description: partial 16S ribosomal RNA
Rfam family: Bacterial small subunit ribosomal RNA
Source: RNAcentral
UUGGGGAAUAUUGGACAAUGGGCGAAAGCCUGAUCCAGCCAUGCCGCGUGUGUGAAGAAGGUCUUCGGAUUGUAAAGCACUUUAAGUUGGGAGGAAGGGUAGUAACCUAAUACGUUGCUACUUUGACGUUACCGACAGAAUAAGCACCGGCUAACUUCGUGCCAGCAGCCGCGGUAAUACGAAGGGUGCAAGCGUUAAUCGGAAUUACUGGGCGUAAAGCGCGCGUAGGUGGUUCAGUAAGUUGGAAGUGAAAUCCCCGGGCUCAACCUGGGAACUGCCUCCAAAACUGCAUGACUAGAGUACGGUAGAGGGUAGUGGAAUUUCCUGUGUAGCGGUGAAAUGCGUAGAUAUAGGAAGGAACACCAGUGGCGAAGGCGACUACCUGGACUGAUACUGACACUGAGGUGCGAAAGCGUGGGGAGCAAACAGGAUUAGAAACCCUAGUAGUCC